CCUACGGGAGGCAGCAGUGGGGAAUAUUGCACAAUGGGGGAAACCCUGAUGCAGCGACGCCGCGUGAGUGAAGAAGUAAUUCGUUAUGUAAAGCUCUAUCAGCAGGGAAGAAAAUGACGGUACCUGAGUAAGAAGCCCCGGCUAACUACGUGCCAGCAGCCGCGGUACUACGUAGGGGGCAAGCGUUAUCCGGCUUUACUGGGUGUAAAGGGAGCGUAGACGGCAGUGCAAGUCUGGAGUGAAAGGCGGGGGCUCAACCCCCGGACUGCUCUGGAAACUGUACGGCUGGAGUGCAGGAGAGGUAAGUGGAAUUCCUAGUGUAGCGGUGAAAUGCGUAGAUAGUAGGAGGAACACCAGUGGCGAAGGCGGCUUACUGGACUGUAACUGACGUUGAGGCUCGAAAGCGUGGGGAGCAAACAGGAUUAGAUACCCUGGUAGUC
RNAcentral lists this ribosomal RNA (440 nucleotides) under uncultured bacterium. Its description in RNAcentral is "partial 16S ribosomal RNA". It matches the Rfam family "Bacterial small subunit ribosomal RNA", at positions 338 to 795 of the family's 1533-position model. The record is from RNAcentral.